Molecule: ribosomal RNA, 555 nt
Filed under: uncultured bacterium
Lineage: Bacteria
Description: bacterial SSU rRNA
Rfam family: Bacterial small subunit ribosomal RNA
Source: RNAcentral
CCAUGCAGUCGAACGGCAGCACGAGAGAGCUUGCUCUCUUGGUGGCGAGUGGCGGACGGGUGAGUAAUAUAUCGGAACGUGCCCAGUAGCGGGGGAUAACUACUCGAAAGAGUGGCUAAUACCGCAUACGCCCUACGGGGGAAAGGAGGGGAUCUUCGGACCUUUCACUAUUGGAGCGGCCGAUAUCGGAUUAGCUAGUUGGUGGGGUAAAGGCCUACCAAGGCGACGAUCCGUAGCUGGUUUGAGAGGACGACCAGCCACACUGGGACUGAGACACGGCCCAGACUCCUACGGGAGGCAGCAGUGGGGAAUUUUGGACAAUGGGGGAAACCCUGAUCCAGCCAUCCCGCGUGUGUGAUGAAGGCCUUCGGGUUGUAAAGCACUUUUGACAGGGAAGAAAUAGCAGGGGCUAAUAUCCUCUGUGAAUGACGGUACCUGUAGAAUAAGCACCGGCUAACUACGUGCCAGCAGCCGCGGUAAUACGUAGGGGUGCAAGCGUUAAUCGGAAUUACUGGGCGUAAAGGGUACGCAGGCGGCUAGGAAAGAAAGAUGUGA